This 84-nucleotide transfer RNA is filed under the name Tumebacillus sp. BK434. RNAcentral describes it as "tRNA-Leu". It matches the Rfam family "tRNA". From Rfam's summary of the family: Transfer RNA (tRNA) molecules are approximately 80 nucleotides in length. Their secondary structure includes four short double-helical elements and three loops (D, anti-codon, and T loops). Lineage: Bacteria; Bacillati; Bacillota; Bacilli; Caryophanales; Alicyclobacillaceae. The record is from RNAcentral.
GCGGUCAUGGCGGAACUGGCAGACGCGCAAGAUUCAGGUUCUUGUGGGGGCAACCCCGUGGAGGUUCAAGUCCUCUUGACCGCA